UGGGGAAUAUUGCACAAUGGGCGAAAGCCUGAUGCAGCAACGCCGCGUGAGGGAAGACGGUUUUCGGAUUGUAAACCUCUGUCUUUGGUGAAGAUAAUGACGGUAGCCAAGGAGGAAGCCACGGCUAACUACGUGCCAGCAGCCGCGGUAAUACGUAGGUGGCAAGCGUUGUCCGGAAUUACUGGGUGUAAAGGGAGCGCAGGCGGGACUGCAAGUUGGAUGUGAAAUACCGAGGCUUAACCUCGGAGCUGCAUCCAAAACUGUAGUUCUUGAGUGGAGUAGAGGUAGGCGGAAUUCCGAGUGUAGCGGUGAAAUGCGUAGAUAUUCGGAGGAACACCAGUGGCGAAGGCGGCCUACUGGGCUCUUACUGACGCUGAGGCUCGAAAGUGUGGGGAGCAAACAGG
This 404-nucleotide ribosomal RNA is filed under the name uncultured prokaryote. RNAcentral describes it as "bacterial SSU rRNA". It matches the Rfam family "Bacterial small subunit ribosomal RNA", at positions 355 to 776 of the family's 1533-position model. The record is from RNAcentral. RNAcentral also lists the same sequence under 1 other name.